GGAAACCCGCAACUCGUCGAGCUUUAUACAAUGCAUAAAACCCGAGACAUAUGUCGGGAAAAUGAGCAUUACAUGAUAACAGUUGGAGUGGACAUCGACCUUCACCAUCUUCACGCCUUCUCCAUCUUCGGGAUCCUAAUCUAAACCUAAUCUAAUAAACCUAUAACUAGGUAUAUGCAGUGGAAGGAAACAAACAAACAUAUCAAAACAUCAAAGAACAUGACAUUAUUAGUGUUCAAAAAUGGUGACUAAAGUCAUGAAAUCCUUACACCAAAUUCUAAGUGAAAUCCCAAGAUUUAGCAUCAUUAUGUAUUACACCUAAAUCAUCUAUCUAAUGAUCACACACAAAGCAUAUAACAUGACAAACAUUCAAGCCACAUGACCUUGGUCCUCAAUCAACCCAAAACAAUGAAUGAACCAACUAAAGAUCACUUAUUCCAAAACAUGCACCAUUGAAUUCACUCAACAUAUGUAUUUAAGGCAAACGGAGCAAUCAAUGUGUAACCCACAUGGUACCUAAAACCGUUUUGUAGACAAUUGAUAAAGGAUGUCAUUCCAUGAAGGAAGCACAUCAAGAUUCCUAACGCAUGAAUUUCUAAAAAUAUUAAGAACAUGAACAAGUCAAUCAAGAAUAGAUCAUAGUAGCAUGUCACACCGUCAUUCUACAACAUAUUGAAAACAAUUUGGACAAAUCUACUAUCUCAUCUUAAGACUAACAACAAUUAGCCACAGAAAAGACAGUAUUGCAGUUCAAGACAAAUUCCAGAUUUCAAAGCUCGAUUUGAAAAAAGGAAAGGCAGGGCAAAUGAUGACCAAAUCGCAUGUAUAAUAUGUCAAUGGAAAGUUUGAGAAGCCUAUUACAAAUCUCUAGAAGACAUUAAGUCCUAAUAACAUCAUCUUCCAGCUCGUUCCAGUUAAAACAGAAAAUUGCAGUAGGUCAAAACAGCAAAUCAACCUAAAAAACUACUGCAGAAUUGACAGACUUUGUUGGUAUUUUUCGAUGACCGGAUGAUGUCUAUUCAGGGCGUGCGACAUAUCAAAUCGAAACUCUACAAGUGUAUUUUUUGUGUCUA
Molecule: long non-coding RNA, 1073 nt
Filed under: Eucalyptus grandis
Lineage: Eukaryota; Viridiplantae; Streptophyta; Magnoliopsida; Myrtales; Myrtaceae
Description: long non-coding RNA (EGRA_LNC001526)
Source: RNAcentral